This 494-nucleotide ribosomal RNA is filed under the name uncultured bacterium. RNAcentral's name for it is "bacterial SSU rRNA". It matches the Rfam family "Bacterial small subunit ribosomal RNA", at positions 903 to 1397 of the family's 1533-position model. The record is from RNAcentral.
AAAGGAAUAGACGGGGGCCCGCACAAGCGGUGGAGCAUGUGGCUUAAUUCGAGGCAACGCGAAGAACCUUACCUGGGCUUGAAAUAUAAGUGCCAGUCUAUGAAAGUAGAUCUCUCUUCGGAGCGCUUAUACAGGUGCUGCAUGGCUGUCGUCAGCUCGUGUCGUGAGAUGUUCGGUUAAGUCCGGCAACGAGCGCAACCCGUGUCAUCAGUUGCCAGCAGGUAAAGCUGGGGACUCUGGUGAGACUGCCCGUGUUAAGCGGGAGGAAGGCGCGGAUGACGUCAAGUCAGUAUGGCCCUUACGCCCAGGGCUGCACACGUGCUACAAUGGGGGGUACAAUGAGACGCAAAAUCGCGAGAUGGAGCAAAUCUACAAAACCUCUCUUAGUUCGGAUUGUAGUCUGCAACUCGACUACAUGAAGUUGGAAUCGCUAGUAAAGGCGUAUCAGCUACGACGCCUUGAAUACGUUCCCGGGCCUUGUACACACCGCCCGU